Chrysemys picta bellii (western painted turtle) is the source of this 2003-nucleotide non-coding RNA. NCBI's taxonomy places the organism in Eukaryota, Metazoa, Chordata, Testudines, Emydidae. The record is from RefSeq and is a predicted model, not a curated record.
CCAGGGGCUUUCCCUGCACAAGCGGCGGAACAAGUUGGGAACUACUGGUCUAGGAUGAGGGCAGGGGGUGGGAGCCCUCCUAGGUCUGGUAAUGGCUAGAGACAGCCCUGAGUAAUAUGUGAGGGGGCUAUAAAAGAUAAUAGAUGGCAGCGGAUAUUAAGGGCAAUGACAUAACUCAACCUCCUUAUAUAUUGUAGCUGAUGGAUUUAAAUAUGCGCCAGGAUAAAUCUUGGUGAGAGAACAUUGAAAUGUCAAGAGAGAAAUCAAUCGAUCAGAGACCCGAAGAAGGACGCCAGGGUUCGGCCUGGUAUUUUUCAACUCGGUCUGUGGAUGAUAAGUCAGGGCAGCAAGUAAACUUCCCCUUAGCAAGUUUAUAGAAAGAAGCAGCAGAGAGUCGGCUGCUGGCACCACACCAGUCUGAGAACGCUGCCACGCAUAGGGUCGGCCUGAGUUCUCCAGCCGAUGGGCUCUCAAGGUAAUGCAGGACAGCUGUGGAGGACGAAAAAUGACAUUGGACUUUGUGGAUAAUUCCCUCCACCUCCCAAAGUUGUUUUUUUUUUUUUCAUUGAAGCCGAGUCCCCCUCAAACUGUUGUUUUCAAACACCUCGAAACCGGGAAAGGUUCUGUGUUUUCAUCCAAAAAGGGGGAAAAAGGAAAAUUUCACUCCAAAUAGAAAUUUUUCAUGAAAAUGGUCGUUUUGGUCAAACCAACCAAGAAAAAAAACACAAACUUUUCAUAAAAAAGUUUAGAUGAAAAAUAUUCCAACCAGCCCUGCCUGGGAGUGCGAGGCGUUUCCUGCUGCCACUGUCUCUCUGUGGCUGUGCGUGGCCAGAAGUGUCUGCUCUGUGGAGCCCACGGGAUGAGGCUAGGACGGGCAUGGGCUCUCUGCCAUCAGGACUGCUGAGCUGAGCCAUGGGAAAUCUCUCUCCCACAUUGUCCAGGUUUUAAAGGCCAGAUUCUCAAAUGGGCUAGGAGCGCCCCCCCUUUGAUGUGAGUGGCGGCAGGUCUUGGCCUGUUGGGAAGUCCCUCCCUAAAGGUUCCUGUCUUGUCGCUCAGAGACACCCCGCAGCCCAGUCACGCUCUGGGUGACUCACAUGGGCAGGUUGCUGGAUUUUGAACGGGGGGACGAUCGUUCCCACGUUCCAGAAACGCUUUGUAUUGGCUUUGUGCCACAGCACGAGGAAACUAAGGGGCUGCCUCGGCCAAUAGCUGCUCCGGCCAUGUCCAGCGGACGCACUCUGUGCGGGGCACGUUCGGGGUUUUCAAGGCCCGACGGGUCCAUCGUGACCAUCUAGCCUGAGCUGCUGCCAUCGCCCGAGUCAGAGGGGCUCGCGCCAUGACUCUCGCCGUGACGUGUGGUGUACCAGAGCCGGGGGCCGAGCGCUGAAUUCCAGUUAUAGUCGGAGGCCAUGGAGCAGGGCAGGAAGAACACACGCUGGAAGGAACCCGUCCUCCGACCCCUCGUACCUGUCUUCUCUGCUACACAACAGAUCAGGCGCCGAUGGCUUUCCACAAAGAAUACAGGGAACAGAAUGAGCCCCCAUCCGCCCGACUCCAGACCGGGACUCAGCCUGACGCAGCCUGUGAAGCCGCGGCGGAUUCAGACAGAGCGAGCCAGGGCCGGGGGAGAGACGGACCAUGAGGGUAAGUGGCACCAAAUUGGAAUAUUAUCCACAUUUCAUCACUUGGAGCCUUGCUGACAACCUGCAGUAAACAUCAUGAUAUCUAGUGAAUCGCAGCCAGCCAGGUGCCUCAUCCAUUUCACUUUUCUCCCCACCCCCCAGUCUCAUGGGCAUGAAGAUUUCCCUUUUGCUCCAGGCGUCUGGGCAGCAGCACCUGGUUUUUUAAACCCCGUCUCAUCCGUGGUUGUUAUUUAUCAGCUCUCUGAGGCUGAGCUCGGGCAGUAGGAAGCACUUAGCCCCGGAGGUGGAGAAACAGGCUCGGCUGACGGAGCCACUCGUCUUGUUAUGGGCCCAGUGCUGGCUUGAUUCUUGCGGGAGAGA